RNAcentral lists this ribosomal RNA (253 nucleotides) under uncultured bacterium. RNAcentral describes it as "partial 16S ribosomal RNA". It matches the Rfam family "Bacterial small subunit ribosomal RNA", at positions 524 to 776 of the family's 1533-position model. The record is from RNAcentral.
UACGGGGGGGGCAAGCGUUGUUCGGAAUUACUGGGCGUAAAGGGCUCGUAGGCGGCCAACUAAGUCCGACGUGAAAUCCCCAGGCUUAACCUGGGAACUGCGUCGGAUACUGGAUGGCUUGAGUUUGGGAGAGGGAUGCGGAAUUCCAGGUGUAGCGGUGAAAUGCGCAGAUAUCAGGAGGAACACCGAUGGCGAAGGCAGGUCUCUGGGCCACUACUGACGCUGAGAAGCGAAAGCAUGGGGAGCGAACAGG